AUUUGUGCUUGCACAAGAUGACGACCGGCGCACGGGUGCGCACCGCGUAUGGAACCUGCCUUGUACAGGGGAAUAGCCCAGGGAAACUUGGAUUAAUGCCCCGUAGUACCGUGACCCGGCAUCGGGAUACGGUUAAAGCCUUCGGGCGGUACAAGAUGGCCAUGCGUCCCAUUAGCUUGUUGGUAAGGUAACGGCUUACCAAGGCUACGAUGGGUAGGGGCCCUGAGAGGGGGAUCCCCCACACUGGUACUGAGACACGGACCAGACUCCUACGGGAGGCAGCAGUGAGGAAUAUUGGACAAUGGAGGAGACUCUGAUCCAGCCAUGCCGCGUGCAGGAAGAAUGCCCUAUGGGUAGUAAACUGCUUUUAUACGGGAAGAAAAAGAGCUACGUGUAGCUUACUGACGGUACCGUAAGAAUAAGGACCGGCUAACUCCGUGCCAGCAGCCGCGGUAAUACGGAGGGUCCGAGCGUUAUCCGGAAUUAUUGGGUUUAAAGGGUCCGUAGGCGGGCCGAUAAGUCAGGGGUGAAAGUCUGCCGCUCAACGGUAGAACUGCCUUUGAUACUGUCGGUCUUGAGUUAUAGUGAAGUUGCCGGAAUAUGUAGUGUAGCGGUGAAAUGCAUAGAUAUUACAUAGAACACCGAUUGCGAAGGCAGGUGACUAACUAUAUACUGACGCUGAUGGACGAAAGCGUGGGGAGCGAACAGGAUUAGAUACCCUGGUAGUCCACGCCGUAAACGAUGGAUACUAGCUGUCCGGAACCUUGAGUUCUGGGCGGCCAAGCGAAAGUGAUAAGUAUCCCACCUGGGGAGUACGUUCGCAAGAAUGAAACUCAAAGGAAUUGACGGGGGCCCGCACAAGCGGUGGA
This 869-nucleotide ribosomal RNA is filed under the name Maribacter stanieri. Its description in RNAcentral is "bacterial SSU rRNA". It matches the Rfam family "Bacterial small subunit ribosomal RNA", at positions 72 to 936 of the family's 1533-position model. The record is from RNAcentral. Lineage: Bacteria; Pseudomonadati; Bacteroidota; Flavobacteriia; Flavobacteriales; Flavobacteriaceae.